Long non-coding RNA from Arachis stenosperma, 858 nucleotides. RefSeq lists it as uncharacterized. The transcript is spliced from 4 exons. The record is from RefSeq and is a predicted model, not a curated record. Lineage: Eukaryota; Viridiplantae; Streptophyta; Magnoliopsida; Fabales; Fabaceae.
CUUGUGGAUUGUGAUAAAAACGCAAGACAGAAAAAAACGCAUUCUUUAGGUCAUUUCACGCAUUUCGCUUUUCGAUCUGCAUUGAAGCCAUACCCUCUGCCAUCAAUGGAGUCGCUUAAUCCUUUGCUCUCUGCCACUAUUAAUGUUUCACUGGCUUACCAUUGCAUCAGCUUUUUCAGUUCUCUGUCAAUAUGAUUGUCAGGAGUCAUAACUCAUAAGCAAGUGUCAGCAUUAUCAUCUCAUAUGCAAGCAAUCUGAGUAAUUCUUCGAGGAUUGGAAAAAUUUUGUCUCAAACUUAUUACAAGUUGGCUUGAUCUUCUCUGGUCUGUUUUUCAACACAAGAAUAAUUUUCGACGUUCAAGAGCCAAAUUUCGUUUGCUAUCCAGUAAGGAUUCAAAGUUCAAUACUUUAAGAAUAUGGUGAGAUCUAGAUUCAGAAACUUGAUUAGAUUGAUUCGGGAUAAGAAUUCCAACCUCUGUUGUGCCAUGUAUACUGCAUAUGCCAUGAACGAAGGGCAAUUUCUACUACAUAGAAGGCACAUCAAUCAUGACUGCGAGCAUUAGAAGGAAAUAUAAAAAGAGAAAAAAUGGACAGGCGAUAUGAUUUGUUAGAGAUGAUUGCACCGCCAAAAGAAUGCUGGAAGAUUCAUGUCAAAGUAAUCAAACUCUGGUCUUUACUGAAAUUCAAAGACCCCUAAUCCAAUAGCUCCAUUAAAAUGGUGUUGAUGAAUGAGCAUUCAUCCACACAAUUGUUUCUCUGUUUUCAUACACUUAGUCCCACAAUUGUAUGAUCCUCACUAUCAUAAUUGUUAUAAUUUCAAUCUCGACAGUUUCUGCUUUUCUUGGGACUAUUCAAUUA